GGGUUGUGAGGUUAAGCGACUAAGCGUACACGGUGGAUGCCCUGGCAGUCAGAGGCGAUGAAGGACGUGCUAAUCUGCGAUAAGCGUCGGUAAGGUGAUAUGAACCGUUAUAACCGGCGAUUUCCGAAUGGGGAAACCCAGUGUGAUUCGUCACACUAUCAUUAACUGAAUCCAUAGGUUAAUGAGGCGAACCGGGGGAACUGAAACAUCUAAGUACCCCGAGGAAAAGAAAUCAACCGAGAUUCCCCCAGUAGCGGCGAGCGAACGGGGAGGAGCCCAGAGCCUGAAUCAGUGUGUGUGUUAGUGGAAGCGUCUGGAAAGGCGCGCGAUACAGGGUGACAGCCCCGUACACAAAAAUGCACAUGCUGUGAGCUCGAUGAGUAGGGCGGGACACGUGGUAUCCUGUCUGAAUAUGGGGGGACCAUCCUCCAAGGCUAAAUACUCCUGACUGACCGAUAGUGAACCAGUACCGUGAGGGAAAGGCGAAAAGAACCCCGGCGAGGGGAGUGAAAAAGAACCU
RNAcentral lists this ribosomal RNA (520 nucleotides) under Escherichia coli. RNAcentral's name for it is "partial 23S ribosomal RNA". It matches the Rfam family "Bacterial large subunit ribosomal RNA", at positions 1 to 551 of the family's 2925-position model. The record is from RNAcentral. Lineage: Bacteria; Pseudomonadati; Pseudomonadota; Gammaproteobacteria; Enterobacterales; Enterobacteriaceae.